This 2384-nucleotide long non-coding RNA is filed under the name Mus musculus (house mouse). RNAcentral describes it as "long non-coding RNA chr1:89483437-89485821". The record is from RNAcentral. Lineage: Eukaryota; Metazoa; Chordata; Mammalia; Rodentia; Muridae.
UGGGGUCACCUGUUGCCUCUUUAGGCUGAGUUUUGAUAACUGUCCCCCUUUCAUUGAUGGGUGGAGCGAAGGAACUAAUGGGGGUGUGUGUGUGUCUCAUUUUGGGAAGCAUUGAGGGCUCCACCUUUGUUUGGGGUGGAGGUCUGCAGGCUGCCCGUUUGUCCUCUGAAAUGGGAACACUGGAACUUGGAUCAGCAGAAGCGAGUCUGUAGUGCUUCAGCUGCUGUGUGUGUGACUGCUUUGUUCCUGUCAAGCCUGAAACCUGAAUGGACCAGACAUCAGUAAAUACCUUGGAAACUGGAAUUGGUAGCCAAUGUGUGAUUGGAGGAAGAUUCUGAGGGGCCACCAGCCAGGCAGAUCUGGGGAUUCUCAGUGUGGAGGUGUGGCUAGCUACACAUUGAAAUUGACCUCAAUCAAGAUGGUACUAAUAAGGGGGCAGAACGAUGUGAACAAUAGCCCUCAAUUACUGCGGUCUGCCGAGCCGUCCCGUUAUUUUAAAUACGCUGUUACUUUAAAUGUCUAUAAUUUGUGUUCAUUGUACGAUUAUUCAGAAUAGAGACCUGGGGGGAAACACCAGCAGCUUAGCGUUCCCCUGCACCUCAAGUUUCCCCACCCAGUGCCUGAACGUGUCAGUGCAGAUUCCCUGGCUGCACCUUAGGGCAUAGGGUCCUGCGAUCCUGGCUCUGCAAACACAGCUUUGUUACCAGUUUCUCUGCCAUCUUUUAAGUGAACAGAUGUUUCUUAUCUAGGCAAAGUUUCGACGUUUAAGUCUGUCUGUCUGUCUGUCUUUCUUUCUUUCUUUCUUUCUCUCUCUCUUUCUUUCUCUCUUUCUCUCUCUCUCUCUCUCUCUCUCUCUCUCUCUCUCUUUCUCUCUUUCUUUCAUUCAUUCAUUUCUGUUUGAGACAGAAUCUUGCUAGCCCAUGCAUGCUAGCCUGAACUUAUCUUGUAGCCCAGGCUGGCUCAACUCAUGGUGAUCCUUCUAUCCUCCUGUCCUCGACCUGAUUGCUGAAGGCGUCGUCCCUGAGACUCAGCUGUAUGCCUACAGCUUCCUUUGUGUCUUUUGGUAUUGACAUUGUAGGUUAUUGUUUAAAACUUUUAAAAAUAAAAAUAACAUUAUUUAGCUAGUGUGGUUGCUUAUGUGCAUAAUCCCAACACAAGAGGGCUGAUUUGGAGGAUAGCCAGAGCUAGUGGUGAGCUGGGACCAGCCUGCACUACAGUGUCUUAACAAACAUAAGCGUUUCUACUCUGUGACUACACAGCUAGCUCAGCACUAGAAGACCAAUGUGGAAAAGUCUCCGCCUGUUCUUAUCAUCCAGGGCGAGAUGCUCUGGGCUCUGUCUCUGCCUGUGUGAGCUCUUCAGUGUGCGGUGGAGGCAGGGUUUUCCCUGGAGCUCCCUGGGACUGCUGGCUGGUCACUCGGCUGCAGGGAGAGGCCUAGCUCAUUUCUACAGUUUCCGAAGCCAGGCAGACAUGGGUAUCACACCUGAGACUCAGUUUCAUGUCUACAGGAAGCCAGUCUGUCCUGUCAGUCAUUCCUGCCUGGUGCUUCUUGUUAUCAUCUGCCACAUGGUGGUGAGCUGAGCCCGUGCCACCAUUGCUACCUGCUGCCUUCUUCCUGGGGAUUCCGUAGUGAUUCAAGCCUGUGCCUUUGUUCAGGCAGCAUCCACACUGGGACAGAGAGUUGGAAGACUCAACACUUCUCUGUUGGCUUUGUCCUCAUAAGCAGGAACCCAAGUCUGAGAAAGUGAACCGUACUGCUGGCUGGACCUUGUGUGUGAAAGAGGAAAGCAGAUGUGGGAGAAGUGGUAGAGUUGACCAUAAAAAGAACUUUUGGGAAACGAUUUCCCUCCUUUCGAUUGUGAUGUGUAUUAUACACUGAUUAAAGACAAGGGCCUCCCUAAGUAAGGUAGCAGUCACCCAGGUGGCCGGAGCACUUACUCUGACUGACUGUCAUGCUUUCUGCGUCCCACCACUGCGUGUGUGGACGGUCCAGACUGUGUCAUACGGGGGAGUGACUGGUGCUCCUGUAAUCACCGGCGAUGAUCACCUGCUCUCUAAUACCCUCACCACUGGUUUUCUUUAAACAUGGCUGUGUGGAUGUGUAGAGACGGAGUCAGACUAAGUUUUCCACCUUUCAAAUACUGUAGGUGAAAAGUGACAAAUGUCAAGGUUUGAAAGAUGGAAAGAGAGCAGAUGGGUUGGCUGGUGGGUAGAGCGCUUGUUCUUGCAGAGGGUCCAGGAACUCUUCCCCGUGCCCACGUAGCAGCUCACAGCCAUCCCUAACUCCAGGGAUGCCUCGGUGCCUCGGACCUUCUGACCUCCGUAGGCACCAGGCAUAGCUGUGGUACAUAGAUAUACAUGUAAUCAAAACACUCCUACAUACG